Long non-coding RNA from Hibiscus syriacus, 239 nucleotides. RefSeq lists it as uncharacterized. Lineage: Eukaryota; Viridiplantae; Streptophyta; Magnoliopsida; Malvales; Malvaceae. The record is from RefSeq and is a predicted model, not a curated record. The transcript is spliced from 3 exons.
CAGCUCUUUUCAUAGCAAUUUAAAACUCUUACAGGAAUGUUGCUCAGCUUGCAAAAGUACAAGUCAUGAAGAAACAUGGUUCGUGGGAAGACCUCAAACUAGCACCCAGCAUAAGGUCGAUCGUUUGUCUCAACUUGCCUACUUUUUCCGGUGGUCUAAAUCUUUGGGGAAUGCCGAGUCGGAGAAGGCGGUGUAAUAAAGACUUCACUCCACCUUAUGUAGAUGACGGCCUUCUCCAA